UACGUAGGGGGCAAGCGUUGUCCGGAUUUAUUGGGCGUAAAGAGCGUGUAGGCGGCCAGGUAGGUCUGGUGUGAAAACUCGAGGCUUAACCUCGAGAUGUCAUCGGAAACCAUCUGGCUAGAGUCCGGAAGAGGAGAGUGGAAUUCCUGGUGUAGCGGUGAAAUGCGCAGAUAUCAGGAAGAACACCAAUGGCGAAGGCAGCUCUCUGGGACGGUACUGACGCUGAGACGCGAAAGCUAGGGGAGCGAACGGG
Molecule: ribosomal RNA, 253 nt
Filed under: uncultured bacterium
Lineage: Bacteria
Description: partial 16S ribosomal RNA
Rfam family: Bacterial small subunit ribosomal RNA
Source: RNAcentral